UCCGGUGAGUAUAGCGAGGAUGUUACACCUGUUCCCAUCUCGAACACAGUAGUUAAGCUCCUUAGCGCCAAAGAUACUCGGUGGGAGACUGCCCGGGAAAAUAGGUCCUUGCCGGUU
RNAcentral lists this ribosomal RNA (117 nucleotides) under Clostridiales bacterium. The record is from RNAcentral. Lineage: Bacteria; Bacillati; Bacillota; Clostridia; Eubacteriales.